UCCCUGAGACUUAAAGUCUCCUGAAGGAACGUUGAAGACGACGACGUUGAUAGGCCGGGUGUGUAAGCGCAGCGAUGCGUUGAGCUAACCGGUACUAAUGAACCGUGAGGCUUAACCUUACAACGCCAAAG
Molecule: ribosomal RNA, 131 nt
Filed under: Salmonella enterica subsp. enterica serovar Glostrup
Lineage: Bacteria; Pseudomonadati; Pseudomonadota; Gammaproteobacteria; Enterobacterales; Enterobacteriaceae
Description: partial 23S ribosomal RNA
Rfam family: Bacterial large subunit ribosomal RNA
Source: RNAcentral